Molecule: ribosomal RNA, 207 nt
Filed under: uncultured bacterium
Lineage: Bacteria
Description: partial 16S ribosomal RNA
Rfam family: Bacterial small subunit ribosomal RNA
Source: RNAcentral
CGUGUAGGUGGUUCUGUAAGUAGGGCGUGAAAGCUCCCGGCUCAACUGGGAGAGGCCGUUCUAAACUGCAGAGCUAGAGGAUGGUAGAGGGAGGUGGAAUUCCAGGUGUAGCGGUGGAAUGCGCAGAUAUCUGGAGGAACACCAGUGGCGAAGGCGGCCUCCUGGACCAUUCCUGACACUCAGACGCGAAAGCUAGGGUAGCAAACG